RNAcentral lists this ribosomal RNA (506 nucleotides) under uncultured bacterium. RNAcentral describes it as "partial 16S ribosomal RNA". It matches the Rfam family "Bacterial small subunit ribosomal RNA", at positions 28 to 523 of the family's 1533-position model. The record is from RNAcentral.
GAUGAACGCUAGCUACAGGCUUAACACAUGCAAGUCGAGGGGUAACGAGAGGAAAGCUUGCUUUCCUUGUCGACGACCGGCGCACGGGUGAGUAACGCGUAUCCAACCUGCCCCCAACUAGGGAAUAACCUUGCGAAAGUAAGACUAAUACCCUAUAAUUUCCUCAGAUGACAUCUGACGAGGAAUAAAGAUUUAUCGGUUGUGGAUGGGGAUGCGUCUGAUUAGCUUGUUGGCGGGGUAACGGCCCACCAGGGCAACGAUCAGUAGGGGCUCUGAGAGGAAGGUCCCCCACAUUGGAACUGAGACACGGUCCAAACUCCUACGGGAGGCAGCAGUGAGGAAUAUUGGUCAAUGGGCGGAAGCCUGAACCAGCCAAGUAGCGUGCAGGAUGACGGCCCUAUGGGUUGUAAACUGCUUUUAUACAGGAAUAAAGUUAGCCACGUGUGGUUAUUUGUAGGUACUGUAUGAAUAAGGACCGGCUAAUUCCGUGCCAGCCGCCGCGGUAA